Non-coding RNA from Chaetomium sp. MPI-CAGE-AT-0009, 80 nucleotides. The record is from the annotation of a GenBank genome assembly. Lineage: Eukaryota; Fungi; Ascomycota; Sordariomycetes; Sordariales; Chaetomiaceae.
GGUCCGCUGGCUCAAUGGCAGAGCGUCUGACUACGACUAAGUAAAUCAGGAGGUUCCAGGUUCGACCCCUGGGUGGAUCG